Molecule: ribosomal RNA, 408 nt
Filed under: uncultured bacterium
Lineage: Bacteria
Description: bacterial SSU rRNA
Rfam family: Bacterial small subunit ribosomal RNA
Source: RNAcentral
GCAGGGAAUCUUGCGCAAUGGGCUAAAAGGCCUGACGCAGCGACACCGCGUGGGGGAAGAAGGCCUUCGGGUUGUAAACCCCUUUUCUUGGGGAAGAGUGAGGACGGUACCCGAGGAAUAAGCCUCGGCUAACUACGUGCCAGCAGCCGCGGUAAUACGUAGGAGGCGAGCGUUGUCCGAAUUUACUGGGCGUAAAGGGCGAGUAGGCGGUCCGACAAGUCUCAUGUGAAAUCUCCCGGCUCAACUGGGAGGGGUGAUGGGAAACUGACGGACUUGAGGGCAGUAGAGGAGAGUGGAAUUCCCGGAGUAGCGGUGAAAUGCGUAGAUACCGGGAGGAACACCCGAGGCGAAGGCGACUCUCUGGGCUGUCCCUGACGCUGAGGCGCGAAAGCAUGGGGAGCGAACCGG